RNAcentral lists this ribosomal RNA (486 nucleotides) under Parnara bada. Its description in RNAcentral is "partial 16S ribosomal RNA". It matches the Rfam family "Bacterial large subunit ribosomal RNA", at positions 1858 to 2600 of the family's 2925-position model. The record is from RNAcentral. Lineage: Eukaryota; Metazoa; Arthropoda; Insecta; Lepidoptera; Hesperiidae.
UCUGCCCACUGAUUAAUAUUAAAGGGCUGCAGUAUAUUGACUGUACAAAGGUAGCAUAAUAAAUAGUCUUUUAAUUGAAGACUUGUAUGAAAGAUUUGAUGAGAUAUAAACUGUCUCUUUUUUAUAUUUAGAAUUUAAUUUUUUAGUAAAAAAGCUAAAAUUAUUUUAAAAGACGAGAAGACCCUAUAGAGUUUUAUAGUUAAUUUAUUUAUAAAUUUAUAUGUAAAAUUUAAAAUUUAAUUAAUUUAAUUAUUUUGUUGGGGUGAUAGAAAAAUAUAUUAAACUUUUUUUUAAAAAUUACAUUAAUUAAUGAGUAUAUGAUCCAUAAAUUAUGAUUAAAAGAAAAAAUUACCUUAGGGAUAACAGCGUAAUUUUUUUUUUUAGUUCUUAUAGGAAAAAGAGUUUGCGACCUCGAUGUUGGAUUAAGAUAAAAUUUAAAUGUAGAAGUUUAAAAUUUUUGAUCUGUUCGAUCAUUAAAAUCUUACA